GAUUGAAUUAUUUAGUCAUUCGUCAACUAGAGUUUGUUAGGUUCACAGCGUUUUGGAACAAACAAUAAAGUAAAAAUUAUAAUGUUUUUCAAAAUUUAUCUGUAAAUCUUAAUUCCAAAAAAUGGCUAAAAGUGGGUUCUUCAAAUUCUCUACAAAAUUUGCCCAAUUUAACAAAACUCUAGCCCACUACACCAUACAUUAUCCGUGACACAAGUUGUUUUUUCUUGCACUCCUUCUCGUAUUUUUAAAAACAAUUCAUAUUUCUCUUACUGUGUGGCACUAAUACAAAAUUUUUACAUUUUCGGUAAUCUUAAUAUCGAUAUAAUUUCGAAACCUUAGUAGGCCCAAAUACAUGAAUUUUCCGAGAUCCAGGAAACCUUAUACUUUUUUCUACAUUCGUAGUUGGACCUUUAUAUCUAAAACAUCAGCACGUUAUUUGUGAAUUCCUUGUUACUGUUUUAUGGUCAUGGUUUAUUGAUAACUCCAAUCAACCAACGGCAACGGGUUUUUGGCGGCUUUUUAUCCACAUUCCUUGUAAGAACCUAUUUCCGUGAAGAACUCGAGCUAUAUAUACAAGAUGUGCUGUGGCGGUGGUUAUACUCUUAUUCCAAUCCGACGACCAUGCUGUGAGCCUUGUUGUGGGCCAAGUUUUGGCUCCUGUUGUGGGCCUUGUGGUCCCUGCGGUCCAUGUGGCCAUGCCCCUUGUUAUGCACCAUGUGGAUCUUGCUAUGGUAGCUGCGGUCCCUCUUGUUAACCUUAUCUUCAGAACGAAAUCGAGGAAUCUUGCAUAACUACGAAAUCAACUACUUCAGAUUGUAAAUAUAUAACUAAAUUUUAAAUAAGUAAAUGCCAAAAUAUUAAUUUUUAA
This is a long non-coding RNA of Drosophila hydei, 868 nucleotides long. RefSeq lists it as uncharacterized. The record is from RefSeq and is a predicted model, not a curated record. The transcript has 3 exons. NCBI's taxonomy places the organism in Eukaryota, Metazoa, Arthropoda, Insecta, Diptera, Drosophilidae.